UUUGAGGUGGACGAGGAGGUUGAGGGCAUUGUCGACGCACCAAAAGGAAGAGCGGGCAAUUACAGCACCAACGAUGACAAGUUACUAUGCAAUACUUAUUUGCAAGUGUCGAGGGAUCCAUCCAUUGGAGGUGAUCAAAGUAGAGAUGCGUAUUGGGGGCGAAUGAAAGAAUACUUUGAUUAUCACAACAUGAGUGGAAUUGACCGCUCGGAGAGAUCACUUCGGUCCCGAUGGUCCACAAUCAACUCGGAUUGUCAAAAGUGGGCGGCCGCACAAAAGUCAGUUGACAAGAUUAACCCAAGUGGCACAAAUGAGGAUGAU
RNAcentral lists this ribosomal RNA (321 nucleotides) under Triticum aestivum (bread wheat). RNAcentral describes it as "partial small subunit ribosomal RNA". Lineage: Eukaryota; Viridiplantae; Streptophyta; Magnoliopsida; Poales; Poaceae. The record is from RNAcentral.